Molecule: ribosomal RNA, 484 nt
Filed under: Bacillus sp. CSu3_26
Lineage: Bacteria; Bacillati; Bacillota; Bacilli; Caryophanales; Bacillaceae
Description: bacterial SSU rRNA
Rfam family: Bacterial small subunit ribosomal RNA
Source: RNAcentral
GCAAGUCGAGCGGACCGACGGGAGCUUGCUCCCUUAGGUCAGCGGCGGACGGGUGAGUAACACGUGGGUAACCUGCCUGUAAGACUGGGAUAACUCCGGGAAACCGGGGCUAAUACCGGAUGCUUGAUUGAACCGCAUGGUUCAAUCAUAAAAGGCGGCUUCGGCUGCCGUUUACAGAUGGACCCGCGGCGCAUUAGCUAGUUGGUGAGGUAACGGCUCACCAAGGCGACGAUGCGUAGCCGACCUGAGAGGGUGAUCGGCCACACUGGGACUGAGACACGGCCCAGACUCCUACGGGAGGCAGCAGUAGGGAAUCUUCCGCAAUGGACGAGAGUCUGACGGAGCAACGCCGCGUGAGUGAUGAAGGUUUUCGGAUCGUAAAGCUCUGUUGUUAGGGAAGAACAAGUACCGUUCGAAUAGGGCGGUACCUUGACGGUACCUAACCAGAAAGCCACGGCUAACUACGUGCCAGCAGCCGCGGUAA